Molecule: long non-coding RNA, 546 nt
Organism: Hibiscus syriacus
Lineage: Eukaryota; Viridiplantae; Streptophyta; Magnoliopsida; Malvales; Malvaceae
Exons: 3
Source: RefSeq, a predicted model, not a curated record
AAGGGUAGUGAAACCAAUGGCGUCUCUACCUUCCUCUGCAACCAGUUUUCACUCUACUUUCAUUGGUUUUAACUAUAAGGCAAAGAAUCAAGAAUUUAUCUUCAUCGGGAAAGGCUCAAGCUUUACUUUUUCGAGGAGAAAAUUCUUUAUCAAAAGUGUUACCAGCGACCAAGAGCAGAUCCUCAAAGAUGAAGCUCAAGUCACUGAAGAUGCUUCUUUAGAUAUCUUUGUUCCUGAUCCUGCAUCCAUUGCAUCAAGUAUCAAAUACCAUAACGAGUUCACACCAUCUUUUUCUCCUAACCAUUUCAAGCUCCCCAAGGCGUUCUAUGCGACGGCUGAAAGCAUUCGCGAUUUGCUUAUCAUAAACUGAAAUGCUACAUACGAUUACUAUGACAAAAUCAAUAUAAAGCAAGCAUAUUAUCUUUCAAUGGAGUUUCUGCAGAGUAGAGCUUUGUUGAAUGCCAUUGGUAAUUUAGAGCUUACAGGAGCAUAUGAAGAAGCUUUGAAGAAACUUGGGCACAGUUUAGAAGAUAUAGCUAGGGAGGU